Diceros bicornis minor is the source of this 1855-nucleotide long non-coding RNA. RefSeq lists it as uncharacterized. Lineage: Eukaryota; Metazoa; Chordata; Mammalia; Perissodactyla; Rhinocerotidae. The transcript has 3 exons. The record is from RefSeq and is a predicted model, not a curated record.
AGGAGAAGAUUGGGGGGUGAGUGAAGAGGCCCAGGCCCCCUCCCCUACUCCCACUCCCAGAGCUGCUCAGCUGGAGACAAGGGAGAGGUCGUGCAUUCAACCUGCCCAGCCUUAAGUCUAGAUUAGUAUUUUUUUCUUUUAAACAUUUUUAAAAUGGACAUUUUCAAGUAUACACAAAGAUAGGGUAGCUUAACAAGCCCACAUGUACGUAUUACCCAGCUUUGGUAAUUAUCAACAUUUGCCAAUCUUACUUCAUCCAUGACCAACUCCCUUUAUUUUUCUGAAGUAUUUUAAAGCAAAUCCAAGACAUCACGUUUUGUAACUUGUCAAUAUUUCAAUAUGCAUUCAAACUGAUAAGAACUUAAAAAAAUGUUACAUACACCUGAUGCUAUUAUCACAUCUAUUAAAAAUUCCAAUAAAUAAUAUUAUUUAAUACCUAGUUCAUAUUUGGUUGUGCUAAUCAUUUCCAAAAUGUCUUUUUCCAGUUGGUUUUCUCGAAUGAGAAUUCAAACAAUUUCCAACCCGUGCAUUCAGUCAAUUCUCUUAAAUCUCUUUUAAUCUAUUCACUUUCUGUGCCAUUGAUUUGCUGGAGAAACUGGUAUUCGCACCCCCACUGGAUAAAAAUGGUCUUUGUUGGAAGAAAGACCACUGGAUAGCAGACCAGGAGACCCAUUCCCAAGGCCCAGCUCUGCUAGCAAUUAUCAGUAUGACCUUGGGAUACACAGUUGAGCUUUCUGCGUCUCAGUUUCCUUAUCUGAAAAAUGAAGAGUUUUGACCGGUGGUCUGUGAGGCCCCUUCUUAAACAGCAGAGGAAACAGGACAGAAAUGGCUGCUAUUCUCUGUAUGUUCUGGACCCUCAACCUCUCAACCUCCUACAAGGUAGGUAUUGUUUCUAUUUCUGAGCCUGUAAAAAACAACCAACCAGCCAAAUCCAGUCAGAUUUGGAAGCAAGCGGACCUUCCUCACCAGCACUGUCUUCUGACUUGAAGUCGCUCUGAAAAAGGAAGAAAUCUGGAGGCCUGAACAGGUGUUGUAAGUGGGCCACUGAGUUGUUUUCCUUAUCUCAAACUUUUCUGCUUCAUUGACCACAACAGUUUAUUUCUCGCCCAUGGACAGGACAUACAAUGUCUGAAGUCCUUUCAUAAUUCUAUAAUUCAUUAAGGUUUAAAUGGAGAAGUUUCCAGGACCAUGGAACAUUAGAAUGGGAAGGAACCUGAGCAAUAAUUUAUUCCAACUCCUUAUAUGGUGAAAAGAUCCUUUUACAACAUUCCCCAAAGCACUUACCUCCCUGUGGAGGCAACUCAUGGCCUCCUGAGGCAGCCCCUUCCAAUUUAGGCUAGCCACUCGAGAAGGCUUCCUUGCCCGAGAUUUUCCCUUCUGAAACUCUCACUUCUUGCUGUUUGGGCCUUGUUCUGUUUUCUGUUUUUUUAGAAACUGUUUAUUUUCUGUCAACCUUAUUUCCAUUUUCUGUUUAACAGUCUGUGGAAGGACAGAUUAAGGCCACUCAGUGGUUGUGCCUACCUGUUUGGGAGCCACGGACCAGUCCUCAGUGGUGGGCUGAGUGCUCCAGUCCCAGUAGCAAACUGCCUGGGAUCCGUAACCAGUGGAAGUGGUGGCUCCUGGAAGGCUGCCUGGAUCUGGUCCAGGGCUGGCAGCCCCUCUGUCUCUUGAAGAUGCUCCAGGAAAUUGGAAAAGAAAGCUCGGUUACUUUAUUAUGUAGAGCAAAUUAUCCUUCUCUUUGUUUUACAAUAAGCCUCAGUCAAUAGACAUGGAUAUAAAUGAUUUCAAUACUUGUGGAGGUGAUAUUUUGAGGCAGCAGAGCCUUGUGCAAAGGUGACUGUGGAAGAACGAGAUG